AGUUGGCAAGAAUGAUGAAUCUAUAUAGAUGUGAGAGGAGAAAAUCUUUUGUGAGCCUCCAAUAUAUAAUGCUUAUUGAUAUUCUGACUUGCCUUUU
Camellia sinensis is the source of this 97-nucleotide small nucleolar RNA. RefSeq annotates it as small nucleolar RNA Z266. The record is from RefSeq and is a predicted model, not a curated record. Lineage: Eukaryota; Viridiplantae; Streptophyta; Magnoliopsida; Ericales; Theaceae.